ACACACACACACACACACACACACAAAAUAGGGAUGUUGAGAUACCCCAGCUGGCAAAGGCACUUAUUGUCAAGACUGUCAACCUGAGUUUAAUUCCCAAGAUCCACAUAUUGGAAGGAGAGAACCAACUCCUACAAAUCGCUCUCUCAUCUCCUUAUCUCCUGUGUGUGGUGGCAUGCCUCUCUUGCAAUAAAUAAAUAACUGCUCGGAUGUGAAAAGUAAGAGUCUGCCCUUUUGUAUGCAAAUGCAAUUGUCUUCUCAAAUAUAAUGCAGGCAGUGGAUUUAUAAUGUGAAAUCUCAAGAGGAGCUGUUUUAGAGGAGAAUGGCAUAUGUAAUGGCACCUUCUGAUUUCAGAAGGAGUGAGCUAUUGUUUCCAGAUAGUUUUGAAUCUCCCCAAUAAAAGGAGACUGAAAGAAUUUGCUUUUUAGCAUUCCUUAUUUUAGUGUGUAUCAUAAUGAUUAGGCUGUUAAUUUUAGAUGGUGGAGCUUUUAGUCCCUUGUAUUUUCUCUUGCUAACACAGUCAUGCACCUUCUAAAAGAGUGCUCAGUUCUAAAAGACUAAAAGUUCUAAAAGACUCGGUUCUAAAAGACUAUUCAGUUGAUCAGUCUUAUUAGACUCAGAGGUGGUGUUCUCUACCCUUCUGCUAUAGUUCAGCUGAUUUUUUUCCUAACUGUGUUUGAAAAUCAGAGAAUCAGAGUCCCCAAAGUAUUUUUCUCUGUAGUUAUGAAUCCAUCCUUCUGACAACAUGCGGACCUCCUCCCCACUAUGCUCAGUCUUUGUCAGUGAUCAAAUUUCAUCCUUGAAUCUCUAAAUAGAUUUACUUGUAAUUUAUUUUCCUACUUGUCUGUGUUAUUAUUUCUUCAAGGCCCAACUUGAGCAUUACUUUCUUUCAAGAGCUUUCCUGUAUUGUUUACAUUGUUCUUUUUUCUCCUGUGUAUUGGGGUUGUUAACUUCAGCAUCUGUUCUAUGUCUGCAGGUGUGUCCAACUGGUGGCCUCAGGGUCACAUGUGGCCAAUGAUAGCUGUGAAAGUGACCCAAUACAAAAAUCAUAAAAUUACUUAGAACAUGAUGAAAUUUGUGUGUGCAUUAAAUAUAAUUACACAGUUCCUGAGUCCAAAUUUUGUAGAUAACAACAUCAUGUCUUACGUUUCAAAGGUUGGAGCUAGAGGUCUGAGAGCAGAGAGUAAAGAAGACUGGAUUUGACUCACUGUGUCAUCCUUACAGCCACCUCGAUUUGAUAAGUCAGGUGGCCAGCAGGACUCACCAUGUGGUCACAAGAACUGAAUUCAGGGCAGCAGAAAAAUAAAAUAAAAUAAAAUAAAAAAUAAAUAAAUACUAAGAUGACAGUUAGAAGAGGCACAUGGACAAGGUAUAGAGAAAACCUCGUGCAAACUUUCCCCAAAGCAAGUUAAGAUAUGAGCUUGAAAUGUUAUGUACCAGGAAAGCUCGUUAGAGACUGAGUGUGCUAAGGUUUGUGCUGUGUCUGGUCAUGUAGACAUCUUCUGUCUCGUGUACAGCAGCAUUUCAGACCCUCAGAAAGUAAAGCACGUGUUCGGAAUAUGCUGUGUUAUAUAAACAUCUCCUGGUAAGCCACUCCGCUGAGCUCUGGGAAUGACUUUGACCCUCAUGAAACCUAAGUCAGCACUCGCUGGCUAAGGCCGGUCUUCUAAGAGUUAGCAGCCUCAUGCCUGCUAAUGCUUUUUUGCAAAGUGUGCUAUUAUCAUGACCUUUCUGAAAUGCUAUCAGAAGCUGAGAUUGGUUGAUUUAGGAAAUAAAUAGUGCCUUCUUACUAAAAGGUAUUUAAAAUACAGGUAGUUCAAAACCUGUAUGAGAAAUUUAAAAUCACUUGGAACAUCCAUCGCUGUUGUCUGACCUUGUGACAUUCAUAGUCUCAUGAAGUAUUAUUUAUAUGUUAUAUAACAUUUCAUUGUUUUUCUCACAUGCUAGUCCUUUAUUAUACAGGAGAAAGUAACUGGGUUACAAGUCAGAAUGAGAUUUGAGUGGGUGCUGCCGCUCUUCACUGCUCUCAACAGUUUUCUUAUGUGUUUCUAACGGAUUAGAAUUUGUGUAUCUCAGAGGUUCUUAUCUCUGGUAUUUCUGCCUCCUCAGAAAGACUGUUGGGUUAUUUUGCUUAAAAAUUCUUUAUGAUAUUGAAGUAAAAUUCUAUUUCGCUAUUGUUUAAUGAUUCUUAGCCAUCUUAGUUAUAUCUUUUGGACAACUCUCUCUCUAUGUUGGGAGUCAGUGCCUUCUGGGAUUGCCAUCUCUAAUGCCCCCAUCACUUAGAUUAAAGUUGGAGCUUUGCUUUCUUCUGGAGACAUAGGAAAGGUCAAGGGCAGAACUGAGGUUAGUAUAAAUGUUUGCUCUUUCUUCUCAGAACUUUCCUGAGAUUUGGACACCUUGUAUGCUUAAGAUGAUGC
Molecule: long non-coding RNA, 2417 nt
Filed under: Mus musculus (house mouse)
Lineage: Eukaryota; Metazoa; Chordata; Mammalia; Rodentia; Muridae
Description: long non-coding RNA chr6:115189691-115192108
Source: RNAcentral